This 31-nucleotide non-coding RNA is filed under the name Mus musculus (house mouse). The record is from RNAcentral. Lineage: Eukaryota; Metazoa; Chordata; Mammalia; Rodentia; Muridae.
UNGCCAGUCGAGAUAGGUGCUUUAACUGGGU